This is a long non-coding RNA of Agelaius phoeniceus (red-winged blackbird), 352 nucleotides long. RefSeq lists it as uncharacterized. Lineage: Eukaryota; Metazoa; Chordata; Aves; Passeriformes; Icteridae. The record is from RefSeq and is a predicted model, not a curated record.
GGGGUGGCUCAAAGCCUGCUCCUGCCCACAGCACCCAUGGAGGUUUCCCAGUGGAACCUGGGAUAAGGAGAUCCGGGAGCAGCAGACAUUGGUCAGAAGGAAGUCCCUGCCACUGGCAGUGAAUUGAUGGUCACCAUGGGACUACACAGGGAAAAAAUGAUGCUAAUACAUUGGGAAGAAGAGGAAGUCAGAGAGGGUUCUGAUAUUUUAAAAACCCGGUAAAAGCAAUACUGGAAUUCAGGUCAUUAACUUCAGCUGAAAACAAAGAGAAAAAUCGACUCCUGUCAUUAAGCCACAGAAUUUUGAAACAGGUGUAUGGUAAAGUGCAGAGUGGUUUUUUUUUUAAUCACCA